UAUUUUAAAAAUUUUAGCAAAUAAAAUUUCACAAAUCGUUAAAUUCCACAUUUAGGCUGUCAGUCAAUUUCUAUCCAUUGAUCAAACGGUUCGUGUUCUCAUAUAAUCACCUUCAUUUUCCUAAUCACAUAUUAAAGGUCACCAGACAAUGACCUUUUACGUGUAAGACAUUAACUUCUGUCCAACAGACAUAAAUCUAACACUGUGUUUCGUCGUUACCGUAUCUGGAGCUUUAUUUUUAUCACCGUAGUUCUGAAAUAAUUUUGUUGCUACAAUCUUCUUAAUGUAUCACUCGCAACUAUGGCAAUUAUGCCCUAGUUAACAGAUGCGCUAGUUAAUGUACUUGCUUUGAUGAUCCAAAAAUAGAUAAAUUUCAUAACGAAAAGUAAAAUCAUCUCAAGUUUAUUAGGGAGUGUAGGAGGUUGGACUACAACGCCAGCGAUCCGAUUUCGAUUCCCGGUUAAGACUGAUAUCCCGACUUGUAUUCAGCCCUGUGUAAUUUACCUUAAUCGGUACUGUUUCCUACGGAAGAGCAUUAGUGCCAAGUGUAUGUUAUUUAUUAACUCGAAAUUUCGAGUUAAUAAGUCUAAAUUUCGUGUUACAGCUACAAUAAUUUACGUUGAUGUAUAGGUCCUGGCCAAGAUUAGGUACCUGUUUUAUUCCCCGGGUAGCCUUACAGGGUCAUAUAAUUAAGAUAACCGGCUAGCGUUUGUUCAUAUAAAAUAUAACUAUUGAAACCACGUUUAUUUAUUUAUUUAUUUAUUCAUUUAUUGGGUUUAACGUCGCAUCGACACAAUUAUAGGUCAUAUAGCAACUUCCCAGCUUUUGUGUUGGAGAAAGACCCAAGGUGCCUAAACCAUGUUUUAGUCUGGAAGGGUUUUCGACCUAGUUUGAACCCAUUAUCAUGUAGGCAUAGUACUAGAGCGAUUUACACAAUCGAAUACCGCCGGAAGUAGAACAUUUAUGUCAACACCGGUUUCGUAUUUUCACGUGAAAACAGCCGAAAACUGAGAGGUUAUCAACAAAUUAUAGGUUUACGGGUACCAUGAGGAUUUUUCAUGCAUUUAAACGAAAGAAGUACAAGCGAACAGAUGACACAUUAAAGUGGCUGCAGAAGCUUGAAAAGUUAGAUACAGCAGGGGCAGUCAAAACAGUGGGAUAAUACUUCUAUGGUGUCCAACAUGUCUAGUCAGAUUGACAAUAGUGAAAGAUGGUCUGAUGGUACAAUGAUGUACAAAUGAUACUCUUUAACAAGUUGAACAUGUCUAGGUGUAAAAUGUUCUGUGGAUUCAUAUGAUGAGAAUGCCAGUGUUGAUCUGUAUGACUUAAUUAAACACAGAUAUUGAUACCUUCAGAUAUUUACCUGUGAAAUCUUCAGUGUCACCGUUCAGCUAUUGUUCAAGAUCAGUGUCUGCAGCUUGCACAGUUUAGUAUAGAGGAGCCUUCUGAAUCAACUUUGUUACAUAUUUGCUGUUAUUGUAGGACACGCAUGUAGAGAGCAGCAAUACCUGUCCAGCCGUGCAUGUAAAUGUGAUUCAGAAACUUUGAGAAUAUGUAAACAUGACACUGUUAUAAUUUUCAAAAUACUGUGUCUUGUAGUGUAUCAGUACUGUUUUGUCUCAGUUUAUAGCACAGUAUGUUCACAAAUCAAACAUAAGACCAUAGUGAUCAGUAUUAUUAAAAUCAUUAAUUAUUUGUAUGGUGACAAAAUUUAAUUUCAUGCAAUACCACAGUAAAACGUUUGAUAAUUUUCGCUUUUAAAGUUGUAAGUUUAAGGUUGGCAUAAAUUGUUGUUUUUUUUCUUUCAUAAAUCUAAAAAGUGAUUGGUCAUUAUAACUGCAAUAUUAUUUUAGUAUGACAAAGUUUAUAUUGAACUAAAACACUAAUGUAAAUUUUUGAACUAAUCAAUGCAUUUUCUUCUGUCUUAAAACAUUUGUUUAUGGUACGUGUCAUGGCCCAUAACUCCUCCAUAUUACUUGUGUUUUGUCCUUUUUCAUUUCACUAAAGAAUAGGUAGAGGUAUUGCACAUCCAUUUUUUAGCAUCCUGAUUUUGUAAAGUGUUGUAUGUAAGGUUUUAUCUCGGAAUUAUGUCUCAUCUAAAGGUGGGGAGAGGUAUUAAUUAUGCCUUCUCGUCUAUCAGCAUUAAGCCUGUCUGGCUUUAAGAGGACAAGCUGCUGGCCAGAUUCUGAUUAAACUUCACAGGGCUGAUCAGUACCAAGCAUAGUGUUGUGCAUAUCGCUUGCAUGUUUCGUUUUGAUGCACUAAAUUGCAGCCAUAGCUAAAAAUAGAAAAAUCUUGUUGGCUUUCACAGGUUAAAACUACUUAACAGAUUUUGAUGAAACUUCACAGGAGUGAUCAGUACUAAGUAUAUUUUUGCAUAUCACCAACACUUUCCAUUUUGCUGCACAAAAUAGCCGCCACAGCUAAAGGUAUACAUAGGUGGGAGACAUGUUUUGUCAUAAAAAUACCUAAAGCGCCUUCCACUUUGUUAAUGAAAAAUGUAACAAACGUCUUACAAUUGCAAACUGUAAUAAUUUGACAUUAAAUGCACUAGUUCCAUAACUGCAUUUGGCUUUUUUCAUAAUUAUUACCCUUUUCUUACCAUAGCAAUAUUUUGUGUAACAUGUUACCUCAUUAAGCAUCAUAAGAUCAGAAAGUUCUAUGACUCAGACAUGUUGGCCCUUUUGUACUUGUCAUGAGUAUGUUUUCAGUAAUUUAAAUUGUCAUUACUUUUUGUUGUGCCAGUUUACGGAAAUGAAGACUUAGUUGUCCAAAUGGUGUGCCUGUGCCUAUCCUGAUUUGUUUGUCUGGACAAUAUAUUAUUGAUUAGUCUUCACGAAACUUUGCAGGUUAAUUUCCUUAAGUUCCCUGUCAACUUGGAUAGUGGAACGGUUACUUUAGAAACACUACAGUGAUGUAACCACUGUACUAGUCCAACGUUUUGUAUUUCAGAUUUUAUAUCACAUUACAGGCUACUGGUCUUCAGCAGCCUCCAUAAAACUUUCAUAAAAGUUUCCAAAAAUGUUGUAUUUUGAUUUGAACUGGCAUUAUUCAAACAGUAAGAAGUAGUACAAUAAGGCAACAUUUGACCUCUUUUCCAGUACUUUUUGGUUUUCUCUGUUACUAUGAAAUUGCCUUUUCCUAGAAACUGGUUGGAUUAUUUUUGAUGUUCUUAUGUUUUAAUCAAUUGUGGCUAUGUUCUUUAUCUCAUGAAAAUUUCCAUUUUUGUAUAAUUCAUAUUUUUUACUGUCACCGAAGUGCAAUACCACAUACUUAUCACUUUCAUUAACAUACCUGUACUAUUUUCAUAAAACAUUAUAUAAAUCAUUAUAUUUCAUAUAAACAGAAUUAAAUAAAUAUUUA
Molecule: long non-coding RNA, 3363 nt
Organism: Mercenaria mercenaria
Lineage: Eukaryota; Metazoa; Mollusca; Bivalvia; Venerida; Veneridae
Exons: 5
Source: RefSeq, a predicted model, not a curated record